AAGACACAGAUAAAAGCAGGACAUGCACAUAAAAAUUUGCAGGUUAAUUAAGUCCAUCUCCAAUAGAGAGGAAAGAAAUGAAAAGGUGUGAGCUCUGUGAUUCUUUAGCAAAAGUGUACUGUGAAUCAGAUCAAGCCAACCUAUGUUGGGAUUGUGAUGCUAAUGUUCAUAGUGCAAAUUUUCUUGUUGCCAAACAUUCAAGAUCACUUCUUUGUCAUGUUUGUCAAUCUCUCACGCCCUGGACGGGAACCGGACACAAGUUAGGCCCUACCCUUUCUGUCUGCAACAACUGCAUAAACAACUCGAGUUGUAGAGAAGAAAGAGUAAGCGAAGAUGACGAAGAAGGCGACAGUGAUGAUGAUGAUGAUCUUGAUAGAGAAGAAGAUGGUGAUGAAGAUGAAGAUGAAGAUGAAGAUGAAGAUGAAGAAAAUGGUGAUGAUGGUAAUGGUCAUGGGGGUGAAGAUGAUGAAGAGAAUCAAGUAGUUCCAUGGUCUUCUACGCCGCCUCCGCCUGUUUCAAGCCCUUCUAAUGAUAGUGAAGAAUGGUCAAGCAGAUUUUGUGACAGUGAUGGAGGGAUAUCAAAAUCUAGAAGAGCAUUUUCUUCGAAACACAGGCGUGGAACUGUGCCUUAGCCUACUAAUUCUCAUCGGGUUUAGGCUACGAGUCAUCUGUGUUUGAUGUUAAUUUUGAUAAUCAAAAUCUUUCAUCCCAGCCCAUAUAAAUCUUGAAGCGAAAUUGAAGAUUGUAAAGAAAUAACUCUCUUUUCUGAAUCAGGAUCAUGUAGGGUAGCUAGGCUGCUUCUUGUUGCAAGAUAACCUGAAUGUGUUGAAGUCAAGUGAAUCAAAUUUUACGGGUACCUUGAGCUUAAGGAUAGCUAAAAUUUCCCAUAUCACAACAAGCUCAGCAAAUCAAGAACCUGGAUUUGCUGAAGGAUGAUUUUCACUGGAUUGUAAUAGCCAGGUCUUUGAAUGGUCCAUGUCAGAAACUUCUUCUGUGGUGCAGAUUUCGUCCCCAACUGAAUGUGGGACCCUACUCUAGAAGGAAUGUGGAUACCAUCAUCUAUCUCAUUUACUUAGAGGAAAUGGUUUUGAUUCUUUGACCAACGAAUAUAAACGUAGCAGAUCAUGAUAAAAUCCAUUGACUCUGGGGUUGAUGGUGGUAUGCCUUCAUUGUUUCUUCUGCAAGAAUCACAAGUUUUGUUGCUGAAGUACUCCUAGCUGCUGUUCUUUGUUUCAUUGCCUUCCUUUCAAUUCUUUUAUGAUGCGGUAAUAAAAAAUUGAAUGGUUUCAGGUGAGACUAGUGCCUCAUCUG
RNA transcript from Populus euphratica (Euphrates poplar), 1311 nucleotides. It is a transcript of the gene named zinc finger protein CONSTANS-LIKE 4-like, with no coding region annotated. The transcript is spliced from 2 exons. NCBI's taxonomy places the organism in Eukaryota, Viridiplantae, Streptophyta, Magnoliopsida, Malpighiales, Salicaceae. The record is from RefSeq and is a predicted model, not a curated record.